CAGGCCUCGAGUGAGGAGCAUCCAAAAUUUAAGUUUUUAUUUCCGGAAAACAAAAAUUCAGUAAUUCAGUGUACAAAAAAAAAAAUUGUUUCCUAGUUUAAAAUUUGUUUGUUACUUUUUGGACACACGAACUCAAAGAAUGACUCUUGGGAAGGGAAGGCGGCUCUUCAAAUAAAGAAAGGCGAUCGUGAUGGUACCGGGAUAUCCAAACAAAUACUCCCCCAGUUCGGAUUACCAGUGGCUUGCAUCAAUAUUAAUAAUCACUAUAUUAAGCACUAUAUUAAGCACAGAGAAAGGGAAGGAACGAAAUGGAAGGAUGGUGACCCUUCAGACGAGGGAAGGACAUCGUGAUGGUACCUGGAAUAUCCGAUCAGUUAUUCCCUCAGUUCGGAUAUACAGUGGCUCGCAUCAAUAUUAAUAAUCACUAUAUUAAGCACUAUAUUAAGCACAGAGAAAGAGAAGGAAGGAAAUGGAAGGAUGGUGACCCUUCAGACGAGGGAAGGACAUCGUGAUGGUGCCUGGAAUAUCCGAUCAGUUAUUCCCCCAGUUCGGAUUCCCAGUGGCUUGCAUCAAUACCAAAUAAACAUUAUGCAACGAGAUCAAGACCGAAUAAAUCACUAUAUUAAGCACUAUAUUAAGCACAGAGAAAGGGAAGGAAGGAAAUGGAAGGAUGGUGAUCCUUCAGACGAAGGAAGGACAUCGUGAUGGUACCUGGAAUAUCCGAUCAGUUAUUCCCUCAGUUCGGAUAUACAGUGGCUUCCAUCAAUGCCAAAUAAACAUUAUGCAACGAGAUCAAGACCGAAUAAAUCACUAUAUUAAGCACUAUAUUAAGCACAGAGAAAGGGAAGGAAGGAAAUGGAAGGAUGGUGAUCCUUCAGACGAAGGAAGGACAUCGUGAUGGUACCUGGAAUAUCCGAUCAGUUAUUCCCUCAGUUCGGAUAUACAGUGGCUCGCAUCAAUACCAAAUAAACAUUAUGCAACGAGAUCAAGACCGAAUAAAUCACUAUAUUAAGCACUAUAUUAAGCACAGAGAAAGGGAAGGAAGGAAAUGGAAGGAUGGUGAUCCUUCAGACGAAGGAAGGACAUCGUGAUGGUACCUGGAAUAUCCGAUCAGUUAUUCCCUCAGUUCGGAUAUAUAGUGGCUUCCAUCAAUACCACAUAAACAUUAUGCAACGAGAUCAAGACCGAAUAAUUCACUAUAUUAAGCACUAUAUUAAGCACAGAGAAAGACGAGGGAACGACAUCGUGAUGGUACCUGGAAUAUCCGAUCAGUUAUUCCCUCAGUUCGGAUAUACAGUGGCUUCCAUCAAUACCAAAUAAACAUUAUGCAACGAGAUCAAGACCGAAUAAAUCACUAUAUUAAGCACUAUAUUAAGCACAGAGAAAGGGAAGGAAGGAAAUGGAAGGAUGGUGAUCCUUCAGACGAGGGAAGGACAUCGUGAUGGUACCUGGAAUAUCCGAUCAGUUAUUCCCUCAGUUCGGAUAUACAGUGGCUCGCAUCAAUACCAAAUAAACAUUAUGCAACGAGAUCAAGACCGAAUAAAUCACUAUAUUAAGCACAGAGAAAGGGAAGGAAGGAAAUGGAAGGAUGGUGACCCUUCAGACGAAGGAAGGACAUCGUGAUGGUACCUGGAAUAUCCGAUCAGUUAUUCCCUCAGUUCGGAUAUACAGUGGCUUCCAUCAAUACCAAAUAAACAUUAUGCAACGAGAUCAAGACCGAAUAAAUCACUAUAUUAAGCACUAUAUUAAGCACAGAGAAAGGGAAGGAAGGAAAUGGAAGGAUGGUGAUCCUUCUGACGAGAGAAGGACAUCGUGAUGGUACCUGGAAUAUCCGAUCAGUUAUUCCCUCAGUUCGGAUAUACAGUGGCUCGCAUCAAUACCAAAUAAACAUUAUGCAACGAGAUCAAGAACGAAUAAAUCACUAUAUUAAGCACUAUAUUAAGCACAGAGAAAGGGAAGGAAGGAAAUGGAAGGAUGGUGAUCCUUCAGACGAGGGAAGGACAUCGUGAUGGUACCUGGAAUAUCCGAUCAGUUAUUCCCUCAGUUCGGAUAUACAGUGGCUUCCAUCAAUACCAAAUAAACAUUAUGCAACGAGAUCAAGACCGAAUAAAUCACUAUAUUAAGCACUAUAUUAAGCACAGAGAAAGGGAAGGAAGGAAAUGGAAGGAUGGUGAUCCUUCAGACGAAGGAAGGACAUCGUGAUGGUACCUGGAAUAUCCGAUCAGUUAUUCCCUCAGUUCGCAUAUACAGUGGCUUCCAUCAAUACCAAAUAAACAUUAUGCAACGAGAUCAAGACCGAAUAAAUCACUAUAUUAAGCACUAUAUUAAGCACAGAGAAAGGGAAGGAAGGAAAUGGAAGGAUGGUGAUCCUUCAGACGAAGGAAGGACAUCGUGAUGGUACCUGGAAUAUCCGAUCAGUUAUUCCCUCAGUUCGGAUAUACAGUGGCUCGCAUCAAUACCAAAUAAACAUUAUGCAACGAGAUCAAGACCGAAUAAAUCACUAUAUUAAGCACUAUAUUAAGCACUAUAUUAAGCACUAUAUUAAGCACUAUAUUAAGCACAGAGAAAGGGAAGGAAGGAAAUGGAAGGAUGGUGAUCCUUCAGACGAGGGAAGGACAUCGUGAUGGUACCUGGAAUAUCCGAUCAGUUAUUCCCUCAGUUCGGAUAUACAGUGGCUCGCAUCAAUACCAAAUAAACAUUAUGCAACGAAAUCAAGACCGAAUAAAUCACUAUAUUAAGCACUAUAUUAAGCACUAUAUUAAGCACUAUAUUAAGCACAGAGAAAGGGAAGGAAGGAAAUGGAAGGAUGGUGAUCCUUCAGACGAAGGAAGGACAA
Molecule: small RNA, 2836 nt
Filed under: Drosophila pseudoobscura pseudoobscura
Lineage: Eukaryota; Metazoa; Arthropoda; Insecta; Diptera; Drosophilidae
Description: GA32526
Source: RNAcentral